RNAcentral lists this ribosomal RNA (423 nucleotides) under Xylaria sp. E8613a. RNAcentral's name for it is "eukaryotic LSU rRNA". The stretch from base 110 to 263 matches the Rfam family "5.8S ribosomal RNA". Lineage: Eukaryota; Fungi; Ascomycota; Sordariomycetes; Xylariales; Xylariaceae. The record is from RNAcentral.
CAAACCCAUGUGAACGUACCUUCUGUUGCUUCGGCAGGCGAAAGCCUGCCGGUGGCCCAUCAAACUCUGUUUAUUAUUGAAGCUCUGAAAAUAUAACUAAAUAAGUUAAAACUUUCAACAACGGAUCUCUUGGUUCUGGCAUCGAUGAAGAACGCAGCGAAAUGCGAUAAGUAAUGUGAAUUGCAGAAUUUAGUGAAUCAUCGAAUCUUUGAACGCACAUUGCGCCCAUCAGUAUUCUGAUGGGCAUGCCUGUUCGAGCGUCAUUUCAACCCUUAAGCCUCUGUUGCUUAGUGUUGGGGGCCUACAGCGCUGUAGCCCCUGAAAGUUAGUGGCGGAGUCGGUAUCGCACUUUAGACGUAGUAAAUGUUUUAUCUCGCCUAUGGUUAUACCGGUCCCCUGCCGUAAAACACCCCAAUUUUUAAA